RNAcentral lists this unclassified non-coding RNA (1128 nucleotides) under Melitaea cinxia (Glanville fritillary). Its description in RNAcentral is "misc RNA ENSMCXG00005000908.1". The record is from RNAcentral. Lineage: Eukaryota; Metazoa; Arthropoda; Insecta; Lepidoptera; Nymphalidae.
UGUCAAGCUUUGUUACUUACGAACUACAAAAGCGAUAAAAAUAAAUAAUUCUCAGUCCAUAUGCUGUACAUGUUCUUGUGGACGUUGCGAGUAAAACAAUGGAGACCUAAUUGUAGAUGUAACGCUCGUUUCCAAUAUUUAUUUUUCUGUAGUCUUAAUUUACAUCAAGUACCAGUGUUUCUUUGUUCCGAUUCGUUUCGAGAGCUCAGGGUCAUCCCAAUGUAUAAAAAUUGAUGGAACUAUAAAAAAGAAUCAGUACAAUUGUUUAACCACUCCUGGAAGAGAGAUCUUCAUUUUAGAAUAAUAACAAGUAUUAUUUUCUUAAAAUUUAUAAUGAUUUCAAAGUUGACAGGGAGUAUAAAGUAUAAUAAAUAUAUUACUAGGAAGAUCAAGGACAGUCUUUAGUAAGGUAUAGCAAACAAGUAACCGAGGCGUGGUCGGGCCUAUUGUAUAUAAAUCAGAGCACUCGCUAAACAGAUAUCACUUGUAAAAGCUCUUCCAAGCAACUCAAUAACCAUGCUCUUCAGACUGUUCGCUUUCCUCGCUCUGGUCGCCGUGGCUUUCGCCAGCCCCGAACCUAAGCCUGAUCCUCAAGUCGUGGCCUACGGCGCUGGAUUUGUACCAGCUACCUACCCUUACUAUGCCGGUUACGCCGCUGCCGCUCCCUACGCCGCCUUCCCUUAUGCCUACAACAGAUAUUUCUACCGCUAAGCUAACAUAAGGUCACGUUAAUUGGGUAUCUUAAAAAUUAUUGUAAAAAUUAUUUUAAUUUUGUACAAGAAAUUUAAAAUACCCAUGUUGUGUGACAUUUACCGACUUUACGCUAGAUCAAUGAUAUAGAUAUGCCUACUGUUUAAAUAAAAAUUUUAUGCAUAUUUUUUUGUAUUAUUUCAAUUAUAAGUAUACCUCAAAAUGAGUUCACAUUUCAAUCAAUAUCAGUGUUUUAUAUAAAACUAGCGGACUCGACACACAUUAUCAUGCUUGGAGUAGCAACUACAAAUUUGAUUGUUGACAUUUCGACAGCAGUUUUUUUAACCAUCUAUGUGCACAUUGAAAUGUACACUAGAAUUUGUCCCACAUUUUAGGGGUAUUUGUAUGACAAACAUACGAUAUAAGAUAACACUAAAA